UUGAACGCUGGCGGCAUGCUUUACACAUGCCAGUCGAACGGUAACAGGCCUUCGGGUGCUGACGAGUGGCGAACGGGUGAGUAAUGCAUCGGAACGUACCCAGAGGUGGGGGAUAACGCAGCGAAAGCUGUGCUAAUACCGCAUGUGAUCUGAGGAUGAAAGCGGGGGACCGAGCAGCAAUGUUUGGCCUCGCGCCUUUGGAGCGGCCGAUGUCGGAUUAGCUAGUUGGUGGGGUAAAGGCCUACCAAGGCGACGAUCCGUAGCUGGUCUGAGAGGACGACCAGCCACACUGGGACUGAGACACGGCCCAGACUCCUACGGGAGGCAGCAGUGGGGAAUGUUGGACAAUGGGCGCAAGCCUGAUCCAGCAAUGCCGCGUGCGGGAAGAAGGCCUUCGGGUUGUAAACCGCUUUUGGCAGGAACGAAACGGUGUCCGCUAAUACCGGGCGCUAAUGACGGUACCUGCAGAAUAAGCACCGGCUAACUACGUG
Molecule: ribosomal RNA, 491 nt
Filed under: uncultured bacterium
Lineage: Bacteria
Description: partial 16S ribosomal RNA
Rfam family: Bacterial small subunit ribosomal RNA
Source: RNAcentral